ACACUUAAAUUUUUUUAUUCAAACACUGAUUUAAAAUUAUCUUUUACUUACAAGUCCAUCUUUAGACAGUAUGAAAAUACUUAGACAUCCGAAACAUAAGUAUAUUGUAACUCGCUUAAAUCUUUAUUAUUAGUUGCACCUUGAUCUGUCAUGUAAAUUAUGUUUAUUUUGCAAACUUAUAUUCAAUUAAAUAUUUUUAAAAAAUAUUUUAGACGACGGCAUACAAACUGUAAAAUAAAGUGAAUAUUUCUUGGUGGCUAUCAAUUACUUAGUAAGUUCCCCUAUAGUUUAUUUAAGCCGCCAUAAUUUUUGAGUUUGACAUAAAAUUUGGGUACUACUCAAAGCUAAUUAAAGAGUAAAUAGGAAUAGUAGGGUAUCUAAUCCUAGUUUUAUAUAAAGCCUAUUUUUAAUUUGUAAUGGUAAAUUUUUAAAAUUUGCAGAUUAUAUUUCACUAUAAAGCUGUAUCUAAUCAUUACUUUUGUUUAAUUAGUUUGUUAUAUUUUACUUUUAGAUAAAGGUAUGACCGCGGUUGCUGGCACCAUAUUUACCUCAAAAGCUUACCUGAACUAAACUUAUAUUUUUAUAGUUUAUAAUUUCUCCAACUGGAAAAUUUAUAAUUAUUUCCAUAAUUGUAUUUAGGUAAAAGUAAUCUUUUCUAUCAAAUUAAAGUAGAAUGCUUGUCUAAAAAGGAUUUUUUCCUUUUUCGG
Molecule: ribosomal RNA, 707 nt
Filed under: Schileykula maculata
Lineage: Eukaryota; Metazoa; Mollusca; Gastropoda; Stylommatophora; Orculidae
Description: partial 12S ribosomal RNA
Source: RNAcentral